UGGGGGAUAUUGCACAAUGGGCGAAAGCCUGAUGCAGCGACGCCGCGUGGGGGAUGAAGGCUUUCGGGUUGUAAACCUCUUUCGCUAUCGAACAAGGCCCGCUUAGGGUGGGUUGAGGGUAGGUGGAGAAGAAGCGCCGGCUAACUACGUGCCAGCAGCCGCGGUAAUACGUAGGGCGCGAGCGUUGUCCGGAAUUAUUGGGCGUAAAGGGCUUGUAGGCGGCUUGUUGCGCCUGCUGUGAAAACGCGGGGCUCAACUUCGCGCGUGCAGUGGGUACGGGCAGGCUUGAGUGUGGUAGGGGUGACUGGAAUUCCAGGUGUAGCGGUGGAAUGCGCAGAUAUCUGGAGGAACACCGAUGGCGAAGGCAGGUCACUGGGCCAUUACUGACGCUGAGGAGCGAAAGCAUGGGUAGCGAACAGG
RNAcentral lists this ribosomal RNA (420 nucleotides) under bacterium. Its description in RNAcentral is "partial 16S ribosomal RNA". It matches the Rfam family "Bacterial small subunit ribosomal RNA", at positions 355 to 776 of the family's 1533-position model. The record is from RNAcentral.